Molecule: ribosomal RNA, 699 nt
Filed under: uncultured Ascomycota
Lineage: Eukaryota; Fungi; Ascomycota
Description: LSU rRNA
Rfam family: Eukaryotic large subunit ribosomal RNA
Source: RNAcentral
GUGAAAUUGUUGAAAGGGAAGCGCUUGCAACCAGACCUGCCUGCAGUUGCUCAUCCGGGCUUUUGCCCGGUGCACUCUUCUGCUGUCAGGCCAGCAUCAGUUCGGGCGGUCGGAUAAAGGCUUCGGGAAUGUAGCUCCUCUCGAGGAGUGUUAUAGCCCGUUGCGAAAUGCGGCCAGCCUGAACUGAGGUCCGCGCUUCGGCUAGGAUGCUGGCGUAAUGGUUGUAAGCGGCCCGUCUUGAACCACGGACCAAGGAGUCUAACAUCUGUGCGAGUGUUUGGGUGUCAAACCCGUACGCGUAAUGAAAGUGAACGGAGGCGGGAACCCCUCGGGGUGCACCGUCGACCGAUCCUGAUGUCUUCGGAUGGAUUUGAGUAAGAGCAUAGCUGUUGGGACCCGAAAGAUGGUGAACUAUGCCUGAAUAGGGUGAAGCCAGAGGAAACUCUGGUGGAGGCUCGCAGCGGUUCUGACGUGCAAAUCGAUCGUCAAAUUUGGGCAUAGGGGCGAAAGACUAAUCGAACUAUCUAGUAGCUGGUUCCUGCCGAAGUUUCCCUCAGGAUAGCAGUAACGUUUUCAGUUUUAUGAGGUAAAGCGAAUGAUUAGAGGCCUGGGGGUUGAAACAACCUUCACCUAUUCUCAAACUUUAAAUAUGUAAGAAGUCCUUGUUGCUUAGUUGAACGUGGACAUUUGAAUGUAUCG